This 253-nucleotide ribosomal RNA is filed under the name uncultured bacterium. RNAcentral's name for it is "partial 16S ribosomal RNA". It matches the Rfam family "Bacterial small subunit ribosomal RNA", at positions 524 to 776 of the family's 1533-position model. The record is from RNAcentral.
UACGUAGGGUGCAAGCGUUAAUCGGAAUUACUGGGCGUAAAGCGUGCGCAGGCGGUUUUGUAAGCCAGAUGUGAAAUCCCCGGGCUCAACCUGGGAACUGCAUUUGGGACUGCAAGGCUAGAGUACGGCAGAGGGGGGUAGAAUUCCUGGUGUAGCAGUGAAAUGCGUAGAUACCAGGAGGAAUACCGAUGGCGAAGGCAGCCCCCUGGGUCGAUACUGACGCUCAUGCACGAAAGCGUGGGGAGCAAACAGG